GACGAACGUUGGCGGCGUGCUUAAUACAUGCAAGUCAACUGAAGCAGAGGUAGUAAUAUCUUUGUGGAGGUGGCGCACGGGUGAGUAACACGUAGGUAAUCUGCCUUCAGGUCUGACAUAACCCCGAGAAAUCGGGGCUAAUAGCAGAUGAUGCAGCGGCUUGACAUCAAGACAGUUGUCAAAGCCAACCGAGCAAUCGGUUUAGCGCCUGAAGAUGAGCCUGCGUCUGAUUAGCUAGUUGGCGGAGUAACAGCCCACCAAGGCUACGAUCAGUAGCUGGUCUGAGAGGAUGAUCAGCCACACUGGAACUGAGACACGGUCCAGACUCCUACGGGAGGCAGCAGUAA
This 347-nucleotide ribosomal RNA is filed under the name uncultured bacterium. RNAcentral's name for it is "bacterial SSU rRNA". It matches the Rfam family "Bacterial small subunit ribosomal RNA", at positions 28 to 357 of the family's 1533-position model. The record is from RNAcentral.